RNAcentral lists this ribosomal RNA (442 nucleotides) under uncultured bacterium. RNAcentral's name for it is "partial 16S ribosomal RNA". It matches the Rfam family "Bacterial small subunit ribosomal RNA", at positions 338 to 795 of the family's 1533-position model. The record is from RNAcentral.
CCUACGGGAGGCAGCAGUAGGGAAUCUUUCACAAUGGGCGAAAGCCUGAUGGAGCAACGCCGCGUGCAGGAUGAAGGCCUUCGGGUUGUAAACUGCUUUUAUAAGCGAGAAAUAUGAUGGUAACUUAUGAAUAAGGAUCGGCUAACUACGUGCCAGCAGCCGCGGUCAUACGUAGGAUCCGAGCAUUAUCCGGAGUGACUGGGGGUAAAGAGUUGGGUAGGUGGCAGAAUAAGUAGCUAGUGAAAUCUGGUGGCUCAACCAUUCAGACUAUUAGCUAAACUGUUAAGCUCGAGACCGUUAGGGGUAACUGGAAUUUCUAGUGUAGGAGUGAAAUCCGUAGAUAUUAGAAGGAACACCAAUAGCGUAGGCAGGUUGCUGGGACGGUUCUGACACUAAGGCACGAAAGCGUAGGGAGCAAACGGGAUUAGAUACCCUGGUAGUC